Molecule: ribosomal RNA, 1347 nt
Filed under: uncultured bacterium
Lineage: Bacteria
Description: partial 16S ribosomal RNA
Rfam family: Bacterial small subunit ribosomal RNA
Source: RNAcentral
GACGAACGCUGGCGGCGUGCUUAACACAUGCAAGUCGAGCGGAAAGGCCCUGCUUUUGUGGGGUGCUCGAGUGGCGAACGGGUGAGUAACACGUGAGUAACCUGCCCUUGACUUUGGGAUAACUUCAGGAAACUGGGGCUAAUACCGGAUAGGAGCUCCUGCUGCAUGGUGGGGGUUGGAAAGUUUCGGCGGUUGGGGAUGGACUCGCGGCUUAUCAGCUUGUUGGUGGGGUAGUGGCUUACCAAGGCUUUGACGGGUAGCCGGCCUGAGAGGGUGACCGGCCACAUUGGGACUGAGAUACGGCCCAGACUCCUACGGGAGGCAGCAGUGAGGAAUAUUGCACAAUGGGCGGAAGCCUGAUGCAGCAACGCCGCGUGCGGGAUGACGGCCUUCGGGUUGUAAACCGCUUUCGCCUGUGACGAAGCGUGAGUGACGGUAAUGGGUAAAGAAGCACCGGCUAACUACGUGCCAGCAGCCGCGGUGAUACGUAGGGUGCGAGCGUUGUCCGGAUUUAUUGGGCGUAAAGGGCUCGUAGGUGGUUGAUCGCGUCGGAAGUGUAAUCUUGGGGCUUAACCCUGAGCGUGCUUUCGAUACGGGUUGACUUGAGGAAGGUAGGGGAGAAUGGAAUUCCUGGUGGAGCGGUGGAAUGCGCCAGAUAUCAGGAGGAACACCAGUGGGGAAGGCGGUUCUUUGGGCCUUUCCUGACGCUGAGGAGCGAAAAGCGUGGGGAGCGAACAGGCUUAGAUACCCUGGUAGUCCACGCUGUAAACGGUGGGUACUAGGUGUGGGGUCCAUUCCACGGGUUCCGUGCCGUAGCUAACGCUUUAAGUACCCCGCCUGGGGAGUACGGCCGCAAGGCUAAAACUCAAAGGAAUUGACGGGGCCCCGCACAAGCGGCGGAGCAUGCGGAUUAAUUCGAUGCAACGCGUAGAACCUUACCUGGGUUUGACAUGGAUCGGGAGUGCUCAGAGAUGGGUGUGCCUCUUCUGGGGUCGGUUCACAGGUGGUGCAUGGCUGUCGUCAGCUCGUGUCGUGAGAUGUUGGGUUAAGUCCCGCAACGAGCGCAACCCUUGUUCACUGUUGCCAGCACGUUAUGGUGGGGACUCAGUGGAGACCGCCGGGGUCAACUCGGAGGAAGGUGGGGAUGACGUCAAGUCAUCAUGCCCCUUAUGUCCAGGGCUUCACGCAUGCUACAAUGGCUGGUACAGAGAGUGGCGAGCCUGUGAGGGUGAGCGAAUCUCGGAAAGCCGGUCUCAGUUCGGAUUGGGGUCUGCAACUCGACCUCAUGAAGUCGGAGUCGCUAGUAAUCGCAGAUCAGCAACGCUGCGGUGAAUACGUUCCCGGGGC